This 320-nucleotide ribosomal RNA is filed under the name uncultured eukaryote. Its description in RNAcentral is "partial 18S ribosomal RNA". It matches the Rfam family "Eukaryotic small subunit ribosomal RNA", at positions 1470 to 1796 of the family's 1831-position model. The record is from RNAcentral.
CCCCUAGAUGUUCUGGGCCGCACGCGCGCUACACUGAACAGUUCAACAAGUCUUAACCUUGGCCGAUAGGUCUGGGUAAUCUUUGAACGCUGUUCGUGAUUGGGAUAGACCUUUGCAAUUAUGGGACUUCAACGAGGAAUUCCUAGUAAACGCAAGUCAUCAGCUUGCAUUGAUUACGUCCCUGCCCUUUGUACACACCGCCCGUCGCACCUACCGAUUGAAUGGUCCGGUGAAAUCUCGGGACGGCGGCUCGGUCGCUUGCGUCCGACUGCUGAAACUUGAUUAAACCAUAUCAUUUAGAGGAAGGUGAAGUCGUAACA